This is a long non-coding RNA of Brienomyrus brachyistius, 1421 nucleotides long. RefSeq lists it as uncharacterized. The transcript is spliced from 5 exons. The record is from RefSeq and is a predicted model, not a curated record. NCBI's taxonomy places the organism in Eukaryota, Metazoa, Chordata, Actinopteri, Osteoglossiformes, Mormyridae.
ACGAGCAUAAAGGGAAAGCUCUGAUUUUAUUACCCAAUAAGGUCGUGUAACCCCCCCUAAAAUUUCCUGCCAAAAGUUUAAUUGGGCUCAGGAGGACUUAUUCCCUUUUUCUCCGGUGGGGGUUGAUAAAAAAAGUGGAAGAAGGUGGACUAGAUGGUGGAGCUGUCAAGCAAACAGUUGGUUUAAUUUAACUUUUUGUUAAGUUAAGAGUAAUUUGAAAAUGAAAAAAUAAAUUAGUUAUCAUUAGUUUUUGGGUUCUGUCCAAGGAUUUUAGUUUCCUUUAAGAGAAAUUUUCGGUUGUUUUUUUUUAUUGCUGAAAUCCCGUUCGAAAUCGGGGAGACGUUUGCUCGGAGAGGAAAACGAUCAACGGAGGAGUUCGGUCCACACGCACCCUGCCAGGAUCUGCGCCGGGGUCGAGCGCCCUCCGUUGGAUCUCAGCUCCCUGCCAGACAGUCGACACGUCCAACAUGGACUGUCCGGAGGUCCCUGAAGAGGACAUUGGCAGUUGUGACUUGACUUGUGCUACACCAAAAAAGCAAGACACAAUUUUUCCAGCCAGUUCUGGAAAAGGAAAGUCCAGAACAUUACUACAGACUGCACUGCAGAGGAAAGGCUGAGCAGUACCGUGGUACACUGGGACUGAGAGGACAGUAGCAUUCUCACCCGAAGCCAGUAAGGCACUAGCAGGCAUGUUGGAGUUUUAUGUGGGAUUUAGGCCCAUUCACACAUUCGCCAGGGAAGGAGAGAGUGACGAUCCAGAUGCAGCUUCAUUACAGGAUAUGAAAACUCUUAACCACAAUCAAAAAGGGGUCAGAACAAGAGGCUGGGAGGAGAAACCAAAAGGAACAAAGACUGACCUAAAACACACGGAAAGACCAGGGAAAAAAUGCAAUAAAGAACACAAACAGCAAGCCUCGAGUGCAAACUAUAAAGACGGCACUAACAGAGCUACAUAAACAUCUAUAAAGACACAAUGACUGACAUAGGAACAGGGCGUGAGCAGGCACUUAUAUACACAUGACGAGGUUUUGACAAGGGACAGCUAUGGGCUAUUACCAAUUACAAAUAGGUGACUUAGAACUGCAGGGAACAGGUGAGGGUUGUUAACAGGCACCAAGGACACAGGAACCAAACACUAGUAGAACAUAUGUGAAACAGGACAUAACUAGAUGCAAGCAAGGAUAAUUACAAACCAAGGCACAAAAACCAAAACACACAAAUACAAGAUAACAUGGUUAACAAGGGGCUCACAAAAACUGAAAAAACUUAGCUGCACACUCAGCCCAUUCAGGCACAUGUUGGCUCAGGGAGCAGGGUAACACACUGGGGAUAGUGAAAGUAUUAAACACAGGAUCGAACAGAAUGGCCAGAGACACCUGCUGGCCAAAUGGGGAAACAGCAAACUGGAUGGGAUGAGGCAG